Astatotilapia calliptera (eastern happy) is the source of this 542-nucleotide long non-coding RNA. Lineage: Eukaryota; Metazoa; Chordata; Actinopteri; Cichliformes; Cichlidae. The record is from Ensembl.
GCCUGCAGUCGAGGUGGAGAGUGUUGGUCUCCGUCUGGCUUGAUGUUGACGCUUCAACAGCGUUCUUUUUGAUGAGGAUGACACACACAACAGUUUGUCUCCAGCACAGUCAAGGUAAGUUUUCCUUUGUGCUUUUUGUUAUGCAUAUGAAGCGUCUUCCUGCGCUGUGAUGAUGUUUUUUCCUGCCAUUCGUAGUUUCCACCAGAGGUUUAAACACCAAAGACGGUUCAAAUCUUCCUUGGAUGUCUGAGCGUUACUAGCUGUUCCUAAUUAGCAGCUACUGCUAACAUGCUGGCUUUCUAAUGCAGCAAGUGUCUCCACAGGUUCCCAUCAGUCACAGAGAAUGAGCUUAACAGGGACAGCACUGUGCGGAAGGUGCUCUGCUGCAUCAGGAUGCAAGAUGGGGUGAAUUCCUCAAGAACUAAAAUCUGCAGUUUCCACCAGAGGUUUAAACACCAAAGAUGGUUCAAGUCUUCCUUGGAUGUCUGAGCGACUGAAGGGAUUUUUUUUUUUUUUUAUAUAUAUAUAUAUAUAUAUAUAUA